This 203-nucleotide unclassified non-coding RNA is filed under the name uncultured fungus. Its description in RNAcentral is "sequence contains ITS1, 5.8S rRNA gene". The record is from RNAcentral. Lineage: Eukaryota; Fungi.
UUUCCGUAGGUGAACCUGCGGAAGGAUCAUUAAUGAUUGACCCUCUGGGUCUUAUCUUAACAUCCCUCACCUCUGUGCACCGUUUGACCUCCGGGUCUUACAACCUAUAACAAACAUCAGUGUAAAGAACGACUUGUUAUCUUAACAAAAACAAAACUUUCAACAACGGAUCUCGUGGCUCACGCAUCGAUGCAGAACGCAGG